RNAcentral lists this ribosomal RNA (465 nucleotides) under uncultured bacterium. RNAcentral describes it as "bacterial SSU rRNA". It matches the Rfam family "Bacterial small subunit ribosomal RNA", at positions 331 to 794 of the family's 1533-position model. The record is from RNAcentral.
CCAGACUCCUACGGGAGGCAGCAGUGAGGAAUAUUGGUCAAUGGGCGGGAGCCUGAACCAGCCAAGUCGCGCGAGGGACGACGGUCCUAUGGAUUGUAAACCUCUUUUGUCGGGGAACAAAGGCGCCCACGGGUGGGCGGAUGAGUGUACCCGAAGAAAAAGCAUCGGCUAACUCCGUGCCAGCAGCCGCGGUAAUACGGAGGAUGCGAGCGUUAUCCGGAUUUAUUGGGUUUAAAGGGUGCGUAGGCGGACAGGCAAGUCAGCGGUAAAAAUGCGGUGCUCAACGCCGUACAGCCGUUGAAACUGGCGGGCUGGAGUUGGAGAGAAGUACGCGGAAUGCGCGGUGUAGCGGUGAAAUGCUUAGAUAUCGCGCAGAACCCCGAUUGCGAAGGCAGCGUACCGGCGCCACACUGACGCUGAGGCACGAAAGCGUGGGUAUCGAACAGGAUUAGAUACCCCUGUAGA